UAGGGAAUCUUCGGCAAUGGGGGCAACCCUGACCGAGCAACGCCGCGUGAGUGAAGAAGGUUUUCGGAUCGUAAAGCUCUGUUGUAAGAGAAGAACGAGUGUGAGAGUGGAAAGUUCACACUGUGACGGUAACUUACCAGAAAGGGACGGCUAACUACGUGCCAGCAGCCGCGGUAAUACGUAGGUCCCGAGCGUUAUCCGGAUUUAUUGGGCGUAAAGCGAGCGCAGGCGGUUAGAUAAGUCUGAAGUUAAAGGCUGUGGCUUAACCAUAGUACGCUUUGGAAACUGUUUAACUUGAGUGCAGAAGGGGAGAGUGGAAUUCCAUGUGUAGCGGUGAAAUGCGUAGAUAUAUGGAGGAACACCGGUGGCGAAAGCGGCUCUCUGGUCUGUAACUGACGCUGAGGCUCGAAAGCGUGGGGAGCAAACAGGAUUAGAUACCCUGGUAGUCCACGCCGUAAACGAUGAGUGCUAGGUGUUGGGUCCUUUCCGGGACUCAGUGCCGCAGCUAACGCAUUAAGCACUCCGCCUGGGGGAGUACGACCGCAAGGUUG
Molecule: ribosomal RNA, 551 nt
Filed under: uncultured bacterium
Lineage: Bacteria
Description: bacterial SSU rRNA
Rfam family: Bacterial small subunit ribosomal RNA
Source: RNAcentral